Mus musculus (house mouse) is the source of this 720-nucleotide long non-coding RNA. RefSeq annotates it as predicted gene, 54199. Lineage: Eukaryota; Metazoa; Chordata; Mammalia; Rodentia; Muridae. The transcript is spliced from 3 exons. The record is from RefSeq and is a predicted model, not a curated record.
UGUGCAUUCCUUGAGCCAACAGUUGGUCUCAAAAAAUCAGUUUUCCCCCUUUGUGUAAACAUACCUUGCUUUUAAAAAAAACAAGAGUUUUUUUCUUUUUCUUUCUUUCUUUUUUUUUGUAAGCACCUUAAAGAAUAUAUUUCUCUUGGAUACUGGUGCUUUAGUUUGGAGACAAGUAGGCACGAGAGAUAGGUAGUGAUUUGGGAGCUGGAGGGCUGGAUCGGGAUGUCAGCUAUAGAAGUUUAGAGGACAGUGGGGCCAUGGGAAAGAGUGGGUGGUAGGACCUCAUAGAGAAGUGGUACCCAACUGUAGCUGUAGGACAUGGCAGCCUUUCAUGGGAAGAGAGGAAUGAAGACGGUGUUCUGAAAUGUGAUGGAGAAAGAUUGCUUUCCAUGUAUCUAAGUGUUGGCCGUUGAGUAAAGCUGUUCAGGAACGGCAAAAUCAUGGAACUGACAUCUGGAAUGGAUGCAAUGUCUGACCUCAUCGUUUCUCCAAAGAAGAGCAGAGUCACCUCAUGGUACCCAGGCUUCCACCGCACUCACUGUACGGGAUACUAAAAUCCAUGCUUCUCGGCUCUGUGCUCAUUCUCACUCCCUAUGACGGAGACAGGUCAGCUGCCUUCUAGCUCUGGAAAGGACUCAAAUACAGUGGCAGAGCAUGUGGCAAUGCUGGAUCAGCGUUCUAAGACCAGGCUUAAUGAGGAUGUGCCUGGCAAAGAAA